Molecule: long non-coding RNA, 1209 nt
Organism: Homo sapiens (human)
Lineage: Eukaryota; Metazoa; Chordata; Mammalia; Primates; Hominidae
Gene: FAM86EP
Product: family with sequence similarity 86, member A pseudogene
Source: Ensembl
CAGAACUCUUGCUGCAGAGUUUCGAGCGCCGCUUCCUGGCGGCGCGCUCACUGCGCUCCUUCCCCUGGCAGGCAGUAAUCGUUCUGGUCACUGCGACACAGCUGCCCUCGCCCAUUCUAAAAAGUCAGCGCCCUCAGGACCGCAGAGCUUAGAAGCAAAGUUAAGAGACUCAUCAGAUUCUGAGCUGCGGCGGGAUAUUUUGCAGAAGACUGUGAAGCAUCCUGUGUGUGUGAAGCACCCGCCGUCAGUCAAGUAUGCCCGGUGCUUUCUCUCAGAACUCAUGAAAAAGUAACCUGAAGAUUUCACCGUAGACGUGCUGUAUUGCCCAGAAGCCAUCGUGUCGCUAGUCGGGGUCCUGCGGAGGCUGGCUGCCUGCCGGGAGCACCAGCGGGCUCCUGAGGUCUACGUGGCCUUUACCGUCCACAACCCACAGACGUGCCAGCUGUUCACCACUGAGCUAGUUGAGUCCCCACGCCCACCCGGGCCUGCAUGGUCCCCGAGCUGUCCCUGCAGGACUCCAGUGGAAGUGAAAGAACUGGGCGCCGGCGUAAAGCUAGCAUGCCCCACACUCCCACACCAUGCGGGGAACUCGGGCAGAGGCCGGCCAGGCCAGGAUCAGAUGGGAAGUGGAAGCUUGUCAUGACCAGAAACUGUUUCCCUACAAAGAGCACUUGGAGAUGGCAAUGCUGAACCUAAUACUGUAGGACUCACACGCGACUUCAACGGGAUUGUGAGGAUCAAGUCACUCUCAUGGGAAGAAUUUUUACAUGGGAAAGCGGAUAAAACUUUCAUUGGACUGGAAUGUUUGGAGAAUAUUAAUUUCCAAAUCAGGAACCACAAACUGCCCUCUAAUAAGACAUCGGCUAUCUAAGCGUGUGGGUGCCCCCUUUCUGCCAGCAGUUCUGGUUCUUAAGAAAAUCACCAUAAAUCAGACAUGAAAAUUCUGGCUCUAAAAAUAGCAUUUUCUUUGUGCAAAUAAAAACGUGUGUAUCAAGUAUGAUGUUCCCCCAACGUGGACACACCCGGUUCCUCACAAAGCCAAGCCCGCUGCAGCUGCCACAUCCCUGGGCUUACUGUGCAGCAGGUGCUUUUUUCAAGACAGGAAUCAAAAUAUUAGGAACACGGCAGAAAGGCGACACCUGGAGACCAAACGCAGGAUGAGGAGUACUGCAGAGGUCACAGGGAAGUCACAGAACAGUAGUACGCUAG